This 254-nucleotide ribosomal RNA is filed under the name uncultured bacterium. RNAcentral describes it as "partial 16S ribosomal RNA". It matches the Rfam family "Bacterial small subunit ribosomal RNA", at positions 524 to 776 of the family's 1533-position model. The record is from RNAcentral.
UACGUAGGGGGCAAGCGUUGUCCGGAAUUAUUGGGCGUAAAGAGCUCGUAGGCGGUCUGUCGCGUCUGCCGUGAAAACCCGAGGCUUAACCUCGUGGCUUGCGGUGGAUACGGGCAGACUAGAGGUAGGUAGGGGAGAAUGGAAUUCCCGGUGUAGCGGUGAAAUGCGCAGAUAUCGGGAGGAACACCGGUGGCGAAGGCGGUUCUCUGGGCCUUACCUGACGCUGAGGAGCGAAAGCGUGGGGAGCGAACAGG